GAUGAAGAACGUAGCGAAAUGCGAUACUUGGUGUGAAUUGCAGAAUCCCGUGAACCAUCGAGUCUUUGAACGCAAGUUGCGCCCGAAGCCAUUAGGCCGAGGGCACGCCUGCCUGGGCGUCACACGUCGUUGCCCCCCCAUCUACUCCUUCGGGAUUGCGGGGGGCGGAUGAUGGCCUCCCGUGCGCCUCGCCGCGCGGUUGGCAUAAAUGCCAAGUCCUCGGCGACGCACGCCACGACAAUCGGUGGUUGCGAAACCUCGGUUGCCCGUCGUGCGCAGUCGUCGCGCAUCGAGGGCUCGAAAAAAUUGCCGGGUUCCGGCUCGGCUUUCAACGCGACCCCAGGUCAGGCGGGGUUACCCGCUGAAUUUAAGCAUAUCAAUAAGCGGAGGA
Molecule: unclassified non-coding RNA, 391 nt
Filed under: soil metagenome
Description: partial contains 5.8S ribosomal RNA, internal transcribed spacer 2, and large subunit ribosomal RNA
Rfam family: 5.8S ribosomal RNA (bases 1-122)
Source: RNAcentral